This 552-nucleotide ribosomal RNA is filed under the name Triticum aestivum (bread wheat). Its description in RNAcentral is "partial small subunit ribosomal RNA". The record is from RNAcentral. Lineage: Eukaryota; Viridiplantae; Streptophyta; Magnoliopsida; Poales; Poaceae.
AUGGAAGAAGAAAUUGAUGAAACUGUGAGCUCAUUGGAUGAAAAAGUUGAGGAGGAGAGCGAAGAACAAAAGGAGGAAGAGCGGAUGAGCUACCCGUGCCCACCUUCUAAUGAGAGUAACUCUUCAACUCAUACAUUGUUUAAUUUCCCUUCAUGCUUACCGAAGGAUGAUUGCUAUGAUGAUUGGUAUGAUCCCGUUGAUUCUCUUGAAAUAUCCCUUUUUGAUGAUGCUUGCUAUGCUUGUGGCCAAGAUGUCAAUAUGAAUUAUGCUUAUGGAUAUGAACUUGCUAUAGUUCCUUAUGUUAAACAUGAAAUUGUUGCUAUUGCACCCACGCAUGAUAGUACUAUUAUCUUUUUGAAUUCUCCCUACCACACUAUAUCGGAGAAGUUUAUGCUUCUUAAGGAUUAUAUUCAUGGGUUGCCUUUUACCAUUGCACGUGAUAAUUUUGAUAGAUACAAUAUGCAUGUGCUUGCUGCUCCUACUUGCAAUUAUUAUGAGAGAGGAACUAUAUCUCUACCUCUCUAUGUUUCCAACACGAUGAAAUUGCAAUAA